GCUAAACUUCCGGUUACACUCGCUUCACAACAUGGUGCUCAUGCAUCAUCGGAAGAAUGAGCCUUGCUUGAACUGUGAGGGUGUGUGUGUCGAGCUAGAGAAUGUUAGCUGAUGGCGGAAACUCUUUAAUUAGCGCCCUUGGAGAGCGGAAUGAGUUUUUCACGGUGUUCAUGGUGCUUAUGGAGCAUGGUGCUCGUUGAGAGGAAGAAAUAAACCGACACCCGCUUGGAACUCUCUGCUUCUUCUUGAUUAAUAAAUCUGCUACAAAGACACACGAUAAAAUAAUAAUAAAAAC
Tachysurus fulvidraco (yellow catfish) is the source of this 295-nucleotide long non-coding RNA. RefSeq lists it as uncharacterized. The record is from RefSeq and is a predicted model, not a curated record. NCBI's taxonomy places the organism in Eukaryota, Metazoa, Chordata, Actinopteri, Siluriformes, Bagridae. The transcript has 3 exons.